AUGAGAAACAGAGAGAGAGAGAGAGAGAGGAGAGAGAGAGAGAGAGAGGCAGAGACACAGGCCGAGGGAGCAGCGGGGUCCAAGCAGGGAGCCCGACGCGGGCCUCGAUCCCGGGACCCGGGGUCACGCCCUGGGCCGGGGGCAGAUGCUGCAGCGCUGAGCAUCCCGAGCCCCUCGGUUUCGGCCGUGAGAGGCGGCACACAGGCCCGCAGAAGUGCGGCCACAACGAGCCCAGAGUCCCGGAGUAAACCCUCGAGUCCCCGCAGCCCCCCCCCCCCCCAGCGCCGCCCGCCGCCUCGGGACCGCGCCGCCUGGGAGCAGGGGGGCCGCCGCGGUCGCUCCCGGCCCGAGCCCCCCGCGCCCCGACCUGGCCCGCGCCCCCGGCCUCCGCGCUCCGGGAAGGGGAAGCGUGCGGGAGGGGAAGGGCGGCGGCCUCCGCGGCCCUCUUUCCGACUCAGGUGUCUCUGUUGCUCCAUAAAUAAAACGUGUCCGGGCCCCGUGCGACGCUAUAAAGGCGGCGGCGCGGCGGCCCGGGGCACUCCCGGCGGGCCCGCGGCCGGAACAGGUGAGCGGCCCGACCGCCGCCCCGCCCCGCCCCGCCCCGCCCCGCCCCGCCCCGCUGCCCCGGGAGCCCCGCUGCCCCGGGAGCCCCGCCAGCGGCCGGCCCUGCGCGGGGUCGGGCGGGAGGGCAGGCCCCGCGGCCUCGUCUGCGGGGUCGGGGGCGGGGGUCGGGGGGCGGGGGGCCGGCGCCAGGGCACUGCACCUGCCCCGACGCGGCCCCCGGCGGGACGGCGACCGCCGCUGGAAUUUGCCUGGGGACCCGGGGACCGGGGCCUGACGUCUCCACGCCCAGCCCGGGGGCCGGAGCUGCGCCCUGGGUCGGCGCCGCGCGAGAGGAGCGCGGGCUCCCGCCGGGCUUUGGGGGAGAUUUCAGGACGCGGACAGCGCCCCGGCGGCCGGCGGGCGGGGGCUGGGUCGAGCCCCGGAGCCCCCGGAGCCCCCGGACCCCGGGCGGGGCGGCAGGUGCGGGCGGCGGGACCCCGGGACCUCGGGGCAGCAGGUGCGGGCGACGGGACCGCGGGACCCCGGGCAGGGCGGCAGGUGCGGGCGGCGGGACCCCGGGACCUCGGGGCAGCAGGUGCGGGCGACGGGACCGCGGGACCCCGGGGCAGCAGGUGCGGGCGACGGGACCGCGGGACCCCGGGGCAGCAGGGUCCCGCGGGCGACGGGAUCCCGGGACCUCGGGACCCCGGGCAGGGCGGCAGGUGCGGGCGGCGGGACCCCGGGACCCCGGCAGGGUAG
This 1302-nucleotide long non-coding RNA is filed under the name Canis lupus familiaris (dog). Its description in RNAcentral is "lncRNA (ENSCAFG00040013380.1)". Lineage: Eukaryota; Metazoa; Chordata; Mammalia; Carnivora; Canidae. The record is from RNAcentral.